Molecule: ribosomal RNA, 741 nt
Filed under: uncultured Gammaproteobacteria bacterium
Lineage: Bacteria; Pseudomonadati; Pseudomonadota; Gammaproteobacteria
Description: bacterial SSU rRNA
Rfam family: Bacterial small subunit ribosomal RNA
Source: RNAcentral
AACAGGAAGCAGCUUGCUGCUUCGCUGACGAGUGGCGGACGGGUGAGUAAUGUCUGGGAAACUGCCUGAUGGAGGGGGAUAACUACUGGAAACGGUAGCUAAUACCGCAUAACGUCGCAAGACCAAAGAGGGGGACCUUAGGGCCUCUUGCCAUCAGAUGUGCCCAGAUGGGAUUAGCUAGUUGGUGGGGUAACGGCUCACCAAGGCGACGAUCCCUAGCUGGUCUGAGAGGAUGACCAGCCACACUGGAACUGAGACACGGUCCAGACUCCUACGGGAGGCAGCAGUGGGGAAUAUUGCACAAUGGGCGCAAGCCUGAUGCAGCCAUGCCGCGUGUAUGAAGAAGGCCUUCGGGUUGUAAAGUACUUUCAGCGGGGAGGAAGGUGCUGUGGUUAAUAACCGCAGCAAUUGACGUUACCCGCAGAAGAAGCACCGGCUUACCCCGUGCCAGCAGCCGCGGUAAUACGGAGGGUGCAAGCGUUAAUCGGAAUUACUGGGCGUAAAGCGCACGCAGGCGGUCUGUUAAGUCAGAUGUGAAAUCCCCGGGCUCACACCUGGGAACUGCAUCUGAUACUGGCAGGCUUGAGUCUCGUAAGGGGGGUAGAAUUCCAGGUGUACAGGUGAAAUGCGUAGAGAUCUGGAGGAAUACCGGUGGCGAAGCGGCCCCACUGGACGAAGACUGACGCUCAGGUGCGAAUAGCGUGGGGAGCAAACAGGAUUAGGAUACCCUGGUAGUCCACG